CCCUUCUGCCUCCCAAGGCCAAUCUCAAGGGUAGGGGAGAGAUCCAGAGAACCUCCGGGGAGCACUCACUUUUUCCUCAGAAACUGAUAUCCCUGCAGGGUGGCCUUGUAGACCCCACAGGACAGUCACUUCAGCCUAGGACACACACACACACACACACACACACACACACACACUGAGCCCAACCCCAGCUGUCAGUUGGAAAGGAUAUGAACUCUUUCCUUUUCACACAGCCUUUGGCCACGGACAUCCCAUUUCCCCAGCCCUGCCCCCUCUGCCUGGGCCAUUGAGCACAGGGCACCCAGUGGCCAGCACCUCCAUCGAGGAUGCUAAUGGAGCUCCCACCAUGUACAAGACCCUGUGUGAGCACUUUGCACUGUCCCGUCCAGCCUGGUGGCCUCCCUCCCCUGCGGGAGCGUAAGAGUCUGCUGUCACUCAAACCUGCCCCUCACCCCUACUCCCCAGCUCCUAGCCUCAAAUACCGCCCUCCUUCCUCCGGCGGUUGUUUCCUCACGAUUACCACCCAAGUCGCAGUGUUGGCCUGCUGAGGCUGUAACUUGAAAGCUCUGGGUGAAACACGUGCACGGUGUCUUUACCGGUUGGCUAAAUCCCACAGCUUGCAGUCGCUUGCAUCGUCUCUGUGGACCCUUAGACAUGGGGCCUUUGGAUAAGAAGUAACUUCCCUGAUGAUCUGCUUUCUUGGGGAAACUCAUCUUGAUUUCGGUAUUCGGUAACGGGGCAAACUGAUUCCGGAAAGGACCAGACUGUAAAGAUUUUGGGCUUUGCAGGCCAUACAGUGUCGGCUGUAGCUACUCAAUUCGGCCCUUGUAGUAAAAGCAGCACAGACGAUAGGUAAAUAAACAGACAUGGCUGUGUUCUAAUGAAACCUUAUCCACAAAAACAAGCAGGGAGCUGGAUUUGGCCCCCAGGCUGUAGAUGGCUUAUUGCUGAUCUCCGCCUAGAAGACGUAUCUUGGCAUCACGGCUUAAUCGAGCAGAUGAAACGGGUCCGGAAGACCUCAGUGUGGCCUCAGAGCGUCUGGGUGACGAGGCCAGGUCCAACCCUAACAGCGGGGUGAUCCCCAAUCUCAGUUUCUUCACUUAAAAAUGGGGCUAAUCGGGGAUGGAUGUGACGAGGUACAUCAGUCCAGAUAUCCCACUCUCAGAGGCCCCUGCUGGGGGGGCUGAAAUUAGCCAUGGGCGUGAAACCCUGGUGAGCACUUUCAGAAACUCGAAAACGCAUACACAUACACAUUGCACACGUCCAUGGCCCACUGUGAGCCUGAGCACCAUCUGAGGACUGAAUAGGGUGGGGGGAGGCAGAGGGUCCUGGCAUGACCGGUCCAGGGGCCUGAGCUUGACCUGGUAGGUGCAUGCAGAAGCUGAAAAUUUGCGGAUAUUACCACCGGCUUCUUGGCGUUCCUGGAAAUAAUGGCGAGCAAGCCGAGGGUUUUACGCGGCUCUUGAAUUGCUCUGGGACUUCAGCUUCCGCUCUUUCAGCUCCAGCUGGGCCCAUUCCAGCUGCGGGGCAGAAAGUCUUUCCGGAGCUGUAGCAGGAGUGAGCGUAGCAAGAUCACCUGCUGGUGUGGACGACCUCGGGCACGCGAACGUUUUCGGUACCACUUCGGUAAUCACUUCCCGAGAAGCCUGUAAGGGGAGGACGGAAAUGGGCAGUCACUUGUCCCCUUCCUCCUCUUUCCCAGGACCUGGUCAGGCACUUCGAAGGCGCUCUAUCCACACCGGCUCUUCCAAGAAGCAUGGGUCCUUGCUCGCUGUCCCGGGGGCUGGGCCCCUAGAGCCUCAGGAUUUGGGCUACAUGGGCAUCUGGGCACCACUCCAGGGGCCUCUGUGUCAUUUCCUGGCUACCUUCAGGCACACAGAGGUUGUUAGGCGGGGCAGGCCUUUAAAGGCCCAGCCUUGCUGGGAGCCCACAUAGCAUCGCAGGAAAGGUGACAACCUCUCACUGCCCCUCUGUUCUGGGCCAACACACUCAUUUCACAGAUGAAGAAACUGAGGCCCAGAGAAGGAAGUAGCAAGCCAUUCUGAUGUGACUUAUGCCUCCAGCUGACAAACCAGUAGCCUUGAGUUCAAAUCCUGGAUCGGGCACUUGAUAACGGAAUGACCGUGGACAAGUUGCUUGCCCUCUCUGAGCCUCCACUCCUGUGGAAAGUGGGACUAACACUACGAGUGUCUUCUUAGGGCCAUCGUGAGGCAAUCCGUGAGGUAACGCGGAGUGCCUGGCACCCAGGACGCGGAGUAAUACAGAAAAGAGUAGUUACUACUGUCAUGGAGCAAAGAGAGCAGGCCAGAAGAUUCUCGGAGGCUCCCAGCCCUACCUUUGCCCCCCAAGUCAAUAGGCGGAGAUUCCUGGCAAAGACAGCAACCUGGAAAUCAGGUGAGUAAGUGCUGGAACUCCACGAGAAAGGACUCCAAGCGUAAGAAAGGGCAGCAGCGUGAGACCUGAGUGAUCGUUGGUCUAUCCCAUUGGACUUUGGACACUUCAAGAAACUAUUAUCCCCGUUUUAACAAAUGUCACCACUAAGGCUGAGCGUAAACAGCUACUUGCAGUGGCAGAGCCAGUAAAGGACAGACUCAGGGGUUAAACACAGGACUUCACUGCCCAGAGCCCCACUGACUCUACUCUUCUAGGUUCGGGGGCCCAAUCGUGCAGAUUCGUGUUAAUUCAGCACAAAGUAACUGAACACCUGCUCCCCACACGACCCCUAUCCAGGCAUUGUCUACACACCAGAGAGAAGGAGAUGGCUGGGAAGGGCGACUGACACGGAACUCUUGACGUAAAUGUCUAAAAGAGAAAACAGGAUUUUCUCUGCCAGCUCCCAACGCGGUUCUGAACGCAGACUCCACAGAGAGAACCCAAGAUGAACGGGCACGAAACAAAAAUGCGUCUGCAUUUUCACCAACCUCUAAGUGAAACUUAGCAUUCCUUUCCAUUAGGAAUGUGGCAACAAACCACUAUAAUAAGGGCAGGAUCAGGGACUCUGCGGCCGGCAGAAAUCGCCUACGUUUCCAUAUCAUACUGUGAUAGUACAGAUACCCCAAGCUCUCAGUUCACAUUUACUACUCUUGCAGCAUUACAGUUUGCUGUCAAUCCUGCUGCUAGGCUUCACCAUUGAAUGUUAAUAAGGAAGCGCAUUGCUCUUCUGUCACAAA
This is a long non-coding RNA of Acinonyx jubatus (cheetah), 3170 nucleotides long. RefSeq lists it as uncharacterized. Lineage: Eukaryota; Metazoa; Chordata; Mammalia; Carnivora; Felidae. The record is from RefSeq and is a predicted model, not a curated record. The transcript is spliced from 2 exons.